Molecule: non-coding RNA, 85 nt
Organism: Collybia nuda
Lineage: Eukaryota; Fungi; Basidiomycota; Agaricomycetes; Agaricales; Clitocybaceae
Source: the annotation of a GenBank genome assembly
UCUUUGCUAGUAUAUCGGUUAGUACACGCGCCUGUCAUUCUUAGAGCGGCCGCGCGAAAGCUGGGUUCGACUCCCAGGCAGAGAG